Molecule: ribosomal RNA, 251 nt
Filed under: uncultured prokaryote
Description: partial 16S ribosomal RNA
Rfam family: Bacterial small subunit ribosomal RNA
Source: RNAcentral
UACGGAGGAUGCAAGCGUUAUCCGGAUUCAUUGGGUUUAAAGGGUGCGUAGGCGGGCUAUUAAGUCAGUGGUGAAAUCCUGCAGCUUAACUGCAGAACUGCCGUUGAUACUGAUAGUCUUGAGUUUGGUUAAGGUAGGCGGAAUGUGUAAUGUAGCGGUGAAAUGCUUAGAUAUUACACAGAACACCAAUUGCGUAGGCAGCUUACUGAGCCGACACUGACGCUGAGGCACGAAAGCGUGGGGAUCAAACA